GCCUUCGUGGUGUAGUGGUCAGCACGCUCGACGCAUAUUCGAGAGGUCGUGGUUAGAAUCCCGGCCACGGCA
Molecule: transfer RNA, 72 nt
Filed under: Stegodyphus mimosarum
Lineage: Eukaryota; Metazoa; Arthropoda; Arachnida; Araneae; Eresidae
Rfam family: tRNA
About the family: Transfer RNA (tRNA) molecules are approximately 80 nucleotides in length. Their secondary structure includes four short double-helical elements and three loops (D, anti-codon, and T loops).
Source: Rfam by way of RNAcentral